This 56-nucleotide small nuclear RNA is filed under the name Echinops telfairi (small Madagascar hedgehog). RNAcentral's name for it is "U7 small nuclear RNA (ENSETEG00000026054.1)". Lineage: Eukaryota; Metazoa; Chordata; Mammalia; Afrosoricida; Tenrecidae. The record is from RNAcentral.
GAGUGUUAGCGUUCUUUUCGAAUUUGUGGUUUUCCAGUUCUUUCUGGAAGAUCCUA